Non-coding RNA from Gymnopus androsaceus JB14, 85 nucleotides. Lineage: Eukaryota; Fungi; Basidiomycota; Agaricomycetes; Agaricales; Omphalotaceae. The record is from the annotation of a GenBank genome assembly.
GGUUCGAUGGCGUAGUUGGUUAUCGCAUCUGUCUAACAUGUCGUAGUUUCACAGAAGGUCCCCGGUUCGAGCCCGGGUCGAAUCA